GCCGCAAGGCAACCGGCGAACGAGGUAGUAAUAAGUAGGUACGAACCUUCAAGUCAAGCAUAGCUCGUCGAAAGACGGGGUAAUUCUUGAUAGUCCCUUUGGGGUAAAGAUUUAUCGCUUGAAGAUCGGCCUGCUCGGUAUCAGCUAGUUGGAGAGGUAAAAGCUCACCAAGGCAAUGACGCCUAGGGGACCUGAGAGGGUGACCCCCACCGAUGGAACUGAGACACGGUCCAUACACCUACGGGUGGCCGCAGUCGAGAAUCUUCCGCAAUGGACGAAAGUCUGACGGAGCGACGCCGCGUGCAGGAUGAAGUCCUUCGGGAUGUAAACUGCUUUUAUAGGGGAGGAAGUUUAUUGACGUUACCCUAAGAAUAAGAGGUUGCUAAACUCGUGCCAGCAGCAGCGGUAAUACGAGUGCCUCAAGCGUUAUCCGGAAUCAUUGGGCGUAAAGGGUUUGUAGGUGGUCUUGUUAGUCUCCCGUUAAAUUUCCCGGCUUAACCGGGAACAUGCGGGGGAAAUGGCAAGACUAGAGGAUGCAAGGGGUCUGCGGAACUCAUAGUGUAGCGGUGAAAUGCGUUGAUAUUAUGGGGAACACCAAAAGCGAAGGCAGCAGACUGGGGCACUCCUGACACUGAAAAACGAAAGCGUGGGUAGCGAAUGGGAUUAGAUACCCCAGUAGUCCACGCCCUAAACGAUCUUCUCUAGCUAUUUGGAGUAUCGACCCUCUGA
RNAcentral lists this ribosomal RNA (729 nucleotides) under uncultured microorganism. RNAcentral's name for it is "bacterial SSU rRNA". It matches the Rfam family "Bacterial small subunit ribosomal RNA", at positions 83 to 842 of the family's 1533-position model. The record is from RNAcentral.